Long non-coding RNA from Gossypium raimondii (Peruvian cotton), 640 nucleotides. RefSeq lists it as uncharacterized. The record is from RefSeq and is a predicted model, not a curated record. The transcript has 2 exons. NCBI's taxonomy places the organism in Eukaryota, Viridiplantae, Streptophyta, Magnoliopsida, Malvales, Malvaceae.
UUACUAUAUUUUAUUCAUUAUUUCUAAAUUUCACACACCAAUUAUAGUAAGGUGGUGGUUGGCUUUACCUACCAUGUGAAUAACAUCCAUGGUAGGAUUUUGAAAGGAAGCAAUCAAAAUGAAAAAUGUGAACAUAUGAUUGUGUUGCAGAAGUUUGAGAUAAAUUAGGGUUUUCUUUUUCUAUAUGUAUAGGCAUCCGUUUGGGUUGAGAAUGGACUCUCCAACGACUCUAGAAUUUGAACUUCAUUCAUAUUCCUUCCUUUGUUUGUUGAUAGAAUAGAUAAAUUAGAGUUGGCUAUUAUUUGUUUAAAAAAGAAGUUUAUUUGUAGCCAUGUGUUAGCAUCAUCCAUGUCGCACCGUAAUCAUUACUCCAUGCUCAACAUACUUUUUGGCAAGUGCAUGUUCUUACAAAGAAACAAGGAUGAGAUUGUCUUGGAUUUUAACGCAACCAACGGAACCAAAAUUGCACAAUUUAAGGUUUGAAUGCGCACGAUUAAGUGCAGUGUAUUUAACUUACUUUUUAUCUAGUGUAUUUAACUUACUUUUUAUCUUACGCUACAAUAUCAUUACAGUAUUUGAUCUCAUCGUUACUGCUAUUUUUAUACUAACUGCAAAUAUACGCACUGUCUAUCCAAAUCCA